RNAcentral lists this ribosomal RNA (503 nucleotides) under Sordariomycetes sp. genotype 102. RNAcentral's name for it is "eukaryotic LSU rRNA". It matches the Rfam family "Eukaryotic large subunit ribosomal RNA", at positions 1 to 505 of the family's 3401-position model. Lineage: Eukaryota; Fungi; Ascomycota; Sordariomycetes. The record is from RNAcentral.
UUUACACAAGGUUGACCUCGGAUCAGGUAGGAAUACCCGCUGAACUUAAGCAUAUCAAUAAGCGGAGGAAAAGAAACCAACAGGGAUUGCCCCAGUAACGGCGAGUGAAGCGGCAACAGCUCAAAUUUGAAAUCUGGCUUCGGCCCGAGUUGUAAUUUGUAGAGGAUGCUUUUGGUGAGGUGCCUUCUGAGUUCCCUGGAACGGGACGCCAGAGAGGGUGAGAGCCCCGUAUAGUUGGCACCGAMCCUCUGUAAAGCUCCUUCGACGAGUCGAGUAGUUUGGGAAUGCUGCUCAAAAUGGGAGGUAUAUCUCUUCUAAAGCUAAAUACUGGCCAGAGACCGAUAGCGCACAAGUAGAGUGAUCGAAAGAUGAAAAGCACUUUGAAAAGAGGGUUAAAUAGUACGUGAAAUUGUUGAAAGGGAAGCGCUUGUGACCAGACUUGUGCCCGGCUGAUCAUCCAGUGUUCUCACUGGUGCACUCUGCCGGGCUCAGGCCAGCGUCGG